Molecule: ribosomal RNA, 314 nt
Filed under: uncultured bacterium
Lineage: Bacteria
Description: partial 16S ribosomal RNA
Source: RNAcentral
UUACCAACUUUCGUGGUGUGACGGGCGGUGUGUACAAGGCCCGGGAACGUAUUCACCGCAGUAUGCUGACCUGCGAUUACUAGCGAUUCCGACUUCAUGCAGGCGAGUUGCAGCCUGCAAUCCGAACUGAGGCCGGGUUUCUGGGAUUUGCUCCACCUCGCGGUUUCGCUGCCCUUUGUUGCCGACCAUUGUAGUACGUGUGUAGCCCAAGACAUAAGGGGCAUGAUGACUUGACGUCAUCCCCGCCUUCCUCCAGGUUGUCCCUGGCAGUCUCCCAUGAGUCCCCGGCAUUACCCGCUGGUAACAUAGGAUAG